GCCUGGGUGGCUCAGUUGGUUGAGCAUCCGACUUUGGCUCAGGUCAUGAUCUCACGGCCUGUGAGUUCGAGUCCCGUCUCAGGCC
Molecule: transfer RNA, 85 nt
Filed under: Felis catus (domestic cat)
Lineage: Eukaryota; Metazoa; Chordata; Mammalia; Carnivora; Felidae
Also listed under: 1 other name
Rfam family: tRNA
About the family: Transfer RNA (tRNA) molecules are approximately 80 nucleotides in length. Their secondary structure includes four short double-helical elements and three loops (D, anti-codon, and T loops).
Source: Rfam by way of RNAcentral